GAACGCUAGCGGCAGGCUUAACACAUGCAAGUCGAGGGGCAUCGGGAGUAGCAAUACUGCCGGCGACCGGCGCAAGGGUGCGUAACGCGUGAGCAACAUGCCCGUAUCAGGGGGGAUAAUCCAUGGAAACGUGGUCUAAUACCCCAUAGUAAUUAUGUAAGGCAUCUUAUAUAAUUUAAAGCUUUGGUGGAUACGGAUUGGCUCGCGUGGCAUUAGCUGGAUGGUAAGGUAACGGCUUACCAUGGCUACGAUGUCUAGGGGUUCUGAGAGGAAGGUCCCCCCACACUGGAACUGAGACACGGUCCAGACUCCUACGGGAGGCAGCAGUGAGGAAUAUUGGACAAUGGAUGGAAAUCUGAUCCAGCCAUGCCGCGUGCAAGGAAGACGGCCCUAUGGGUUGUAAACUGCUUUUGUAUGGGAGCAAUAAGGGCUACGUGUAGUCCGAUGAGAGUACCAUACGAAUAAGCACCGGCUAACUCCGUGCCAGCCGCUGC
RNAcentral lists this ribosomal RNA (494 nucleotides) under uncultured bacterium. RNAcentral describes it as "bacterial SSU rRNA". It matches the Rfam family "Bacterial small subunit ribosomal RNA", at positions 31 to 518 of the family's 1533-position model. The record is from RNAcentral.